This 330-nucleotide ribosomal RNA is filed under the name Triticum aestivum (bread wheat). RNAcentral's name for it is "partial small subunit ribosomal RNA". Lineage: Eukaryota; Viridiplantae; Streptophyta; Magnoliopsida; Poales; Poaceae. The record is from RNAcentral.
AUGAGAAAUCAUCAGUGCACUGAAGGGGACAGGCUAGAGCAAGAAGCUAGCCUACUGGACUGGGGUCUGGAGCGCAGGAGCAGCAAGAGUAGGGCCAACAGAGAGAGCAGAAGAAGAAAGGAAGCGAGUACAGUCAGGAGAAGGAGGCGCUACAGAAGCAAACUGAGUCCGGGUCUGAGUACAAGAACUCAGAGCAAAGCUUGUAUGAGAAUCCUACUGGACCAAGUGAGGAUAGCAAUGGUCAUGGCUACAACUACACAGGGAUGGUUCGAAUUAGAAUUCCACCAUCAAGGGUUCGUGGCCAGCAUGUCCUACUACUUUGGCAAAUGA